ACGGAGAUUUUAGCAAUAGAAUCUUAGUGGCGAACGGGUGAGUAACGCGUAGGCAAUCUGCCUUCUAGAUGGGGACAACAUCCCGAAAGGGGUGCUAAUACCGAAUGUUGUAGUGAGUCUGCAUGGACUAACUACUAAAGGUGGCCUCUGAAUAUGCUACCGCUAGAAGAUGAGCCUGCGUCUGAUUAGCUAGUUGGAGGGGUAACGGCCCACCAAGGCAACGAUCAGUAGCCGGUCUGAGAGGAUGAACGGCCACACUGGGACUGAGACACGGCCCAGACUCCUACGGGAGGCAGCAGUGGGGAAUCUUCCGCAAUGGACGAAAGUCUGACGGAGCAACGCCGCGUGAGUGAAGAAGGUUUUCGGAUCGUAAAGCUCUUUCGUUAGGGACGAACGUGCUCUUUGUGAAUAAUGAGGAGUAAUGACGGUACCUAAAUAAGAAGCCACGGCUAACUACGUGCCAGCAGCCGCGGUAAUACGUAGGUGGCAAGCGUUGUCCGGAAUUAUUGGGCGUAAAGCGCGCGCAGGCGGGAUAUCAAGUCUGUCUUAAAAGUGCGAGGCUCAACCUCGUGAGGGGACAGAAACUGGUAUUCUUGAGUGUCGGAGAGGAAAGUGGAAUUCCAAGUGUAGCGGUGAAAUGCGUAGAGAUUUGGAAGAACACCAGUGGCGAAGGCGACUUUCUGGACGAUGUCUGACGCUGAGGCGCGAAAGCUAGGGGAGCGAACGGGAUUAGAUACCCCGGUAGUCCUAGCCGUA
Molecule: ribosomal RNA, 756 nt
Filed under: uncultured Anaeromusa sp.
Lineage: Bacteria; Bacillati; Bacillota; Negativicutes; Selenomonadales; Sporomusaceae
Description: partial 16S rRNA
Rfam family: Bacterial small subunit ribosomal RNA
Source: RNAcentral